RNAcentral lists this ribosomal RNA (400 nucleotides) under phytoplankton environmental sample. RNAcentral's name for it is "partial small subunit ribosomal RNA". It matches the Rfam family "Eukaryotic small subunit ribosomal RNA", at positions 587 to 969 of the family's 1831-position model. The record is from RNAcentral.
AGCUCCAAUAGCGUAUAUUAAAGUUGCUGCAGUUAAAAAGCUCGUAGUUGGAUUUGUGGCGCGGUCGUCCGGCGGGGCUUCCGGUUUCAUAGUAUCCCGGGGCCGUUUGUCUGGGUUCUUGGCCGCCCCAUUCUUCGGUUGCGUGUCGCUGGCAUUAGGUUGUCGGCUUCUUCGCGCCGAUCGUUUACUGUGAAAAAAUUAGAGUGUUUAAAGCAGGCUAUUGCUAUGAAUACAUUAGCAUGGAAUAAUAAUCUAGGACUUCGGUUCUAUUUUGUUGGUUUCUAGUACUGAAGUAAUGAUUGAUAGGGAUAGUUGGGGGUGCUAGUAUUCAGCGGCCAGAGGUGAAAUUCUUGGAUUCGCUGAAGACUAACUUAUGCGAAAGCAUUCACCAAGGAUGUCU